This 274-nucleotide ribosomal RNA is filed under the name uncultured bacterium. Its description in RNAcentral is "partial 16S ribosomal RNA". It matches the Rfam family "Bacterial small subunit ribosomal RNA", at positions 523 to 796 of the family's 1533-position model. The record is from RNAcentral.
AUACGGAGGGGGUUAGCGUUGUUCGGAAUUACAGGGCGUAAAGCGUACGUAGGCGGACUGGAAUGUUGGGGGUGAAAUCCCGGGGCUCAACCCCGGAACUGCCUCCAAAACUUCCAAUCUAGAGAUCGAGAGAGGUGAGUGGAAUUCCAAGUGUAGAGGUGAAAUUCGUAGAUAUUUGGAGGAACACCAGUGGCGAAGGCGGCUCACUGGCUCGAUACUGACGCUGAGGUACGAAAGCGUGGGGAGCAAACAGGAUUAGAAACCCCAGUAGUCC